UACAGAGGAGCCAAGCGUUGUCCGGAUUGACUGGGCGUAAAGCGCACGCAGGCGGACGCGCGCGUGGGGUGUGAAAUCUGGCCGCUUAACGGCCAGGCGCCAUCCCAUACGGCGCGUCUGGAGUGAUGCAGAGGUCGAUGGAAUUGCCGGUGUAGUGGUGAAAUGCGUAGAGAUCGGCAGGAACACCCAGGGGGAAACCAGUCGACUGGGCAUCUACUGACGCUGAGGUGCGAAAGCGUGGGGAUCAAACAGG
Molecule: ribosomal RNA, 253 nt
Filed under: uncultured bacterium
Lineage: Bacteria
Description: partial 16S ribosomal RNA
Rfam family: Bacterial small subunit ribosomal RNA
Source: RNAcentral